Molecule: ribosomal RNA, 474 nt
Filed under: uncultured fungus
Lineage: Eukaryota; Fungi
Description: partial small subunit ribosomal RNA
Rfam family: Eukaryotic small subunit ribosomal RNA
Source: RNAcentral
GCUUGUCUCAAAGAUUAAGCCAUGCAUGUCUAAGAAUAAGCCCAUAGAACGGCGAAUCUGCGAAUGGCUCAUUACAUCAGUUAUUGUUUAUUUGAUGGUACACUAUGCCUUUUAGGCAGGGCUACUUGGAUAACCGUAGUAAUUCUAGAGCUAAUACAUGCACUCGAGCCUCGACCGAGGCCCCGGCAACGGGGUCGCGGAAGAGGUGCUUUUAUUAGAUCAAAACCAGUCGGGGAAACGAUCGCCGGGUCAAACCGGUCGGUCGCGGAACCGUACCAAUUUUGGUGACUCUGGAUAACUUCACGCCGAUCGCACGGCCUUCGCGCCGGCGACGUAUCUUUCAAAUGUCUGCCUUAUCAACUGUCGAUGGUAGGUUACGCGCCUACCAUGGUUGCAACGGGUAACGGGGAAUCGGGGUUCGAUUCCGGAGAGGGAGCCUGAGAAACGGCUACCACAUCCAAGGAAGGCAGCAGG